This 1128-nucleotide long non-coding RNA is filed under the name Bemisia tabaci. RNAcentral's name for it is "lncRNA ENSSSA3NGG011446". The record is from RNAcentral. Lineage: Eukaryota; Metazoa; Arthropoda; Insecta; Hemiptera; Aleyrodidae.
UAGACUCUUGUAGCUUUACGAUUCGCAGUUUUCUGAGCUUUUACAUACAACGGACACAUUGCUUUUCAAGAACGCAGGAUUCAACGUUGUGAUUGUGAACGUGAUCUUUGAUUUUUAAAAUAAUUUUUCUUGGUUAAACUUCAAGUAAGGCAGUGGAAUAUCCGUUGAAUUAAUCAUAUUGACAUUGAACUUAUGAAAUCUCUGUUGUGUGUCGCCAGUAUUUCCCUCGUGGCUCUCGCGCCUGGAACACUCGAAAUGUAUGUAUUCCAACCGUUCAGCGCAGUGGCUACGGUUGCUGACACCAGCGCCCUGACAGCAAGCUACUCACCUCAGGAAAUCAGUCUGACACCUAGAUGUCUUUUUGGUUAUUUGUUCAAGAGAAAGAAGAAGAGAAAACAGGAAGACAGAAAAAAUAAAGACUUGCUUGAAUUUAAUGGUCCCACUAGCAAUGGAAACGGUGUGCCUUACCCAGUAUCACCACCCGAAAAUUCGCCGGACAGAGGAGGGAAAAAGAAGGGUCGCAGUACUUCAAGUAAAGGAAGAAAGUCACCUAACAGGUCAUCUCAAGGAAGUGGGCAAGGAUAGGACCAAGCGCGGAAAAAUUGAUAAUGAUGAUUUAACUAUUUUGUAGUUAAAAAAGUGUCCUACAUGCUUCAUUGUAGAUUUUACAAUAACGAAAUGCCAAUUUAACCACCCCAUAGUUGAAUUAGCUUUCCCUUUAGAGUCCCUUUAUAGGGAGAGUCGAGACAACGCGGCUUGUGGAUGUCACGAACGGGAAUAAAGAUUACACAAAUCGAACGUUUUUUGUAAUCUUUGAUCAACCUAUUCCCGAAUUCCUGUCUCCUUUCCUUCUCUUUGUUCCUUGCCGUACCCUACGUUCCCUGGUCCAUACCAGUUUAUAAUCUUUGCAAUUGGUGAAAAUUUAAUCUUUACUACCGUUUGUGACAUUGUGAAAGCCUAAAUUACGGGAACAAAUCAGAAAUGGCUUCGCAUUGUCUUUACUCUCAGUAGGAAGGGACUCUAGAGGAAUUAUUGAUCUGUAUGAAGAAAGCGCUACUAUGAAUGCAGCCCAUGUUCUUUCAAUACAUUUCACGAUUUUACAAGCAAUGUAAAUAAACUAGUAUUUUU